GGCCAGAUAGCUUAGUUGGUAGAGCACCUAACUAUAGUUUAGGGGACCCGGGUUCGAAUCCCGGUCUGAUCC
Molecule: non-coding RNA, 72 nt
Organism: Ostrea edulis (European flat oyster)
Lineage: Eukaryota; Metazoa; Mollusca; Bivalvia; Ostreida; Ostreidae
Source: the annotation of a RefSeq genome assembly